This 465-nucleotide ribosomal RNA is filed under the name uncultured bacterium. Its description in RNAcentral is "bacterial SSU rRNA". It matches the Rfam family "Bacterial small subunit ribosomal RNA", at positions 338 to 795 of the family's 1533-position model. The record is from RNAcentral.
CCUACGGGUCGCAGCAGUGGGGAAUAUUGCACAAUGGGCGCAAGCCUGAUGCAGCCAUGCCGCGUGUGUGAAGAAGCCCUUCGGGUUGUAAAGCACUUUCAGCGGGGAGGUAGGCGGUGAGGUUAAUAACCUCAUCGAUUGACGUUACCCGCAGAAGAAGCACCGGCUAACUCCGUGCCAGCAGCCGCGGUAAUACGGAGGGUACAAGCGUUAAUCGGAAUUACUGGGCGUAAAGCGCACGCCGGCGGUCUGUCAAGUCGGAUGUGAAAUCCCCGGGCUCAACCUGGGAACUGCAUUCGAAACUGGCAGGCUAGAGUCUUGUAGAGGGGGGUAGAAUUCCAGGUGUAGCGGUGAAAUGCGUAGAGAUCUGGAGGAAUACCGGUGGCGAAGGCGGCCCCCUGGACAAAGACUGACGCUCAGGUGCGAAAGUGUGGGGAGCAAACAGGAUUGGAUACCCCGGUAGUC